GUCUACGGCCAUGCCACCCAGAACACGCUCGAUCUCAUUGGAUCUCGGAAGCUAAGCAGGGUCGCGCCUGGUUAGUACUCGGGUGGGAGACCACUUAGGAAUAUCAGGUGCUGUAGGUG
Molecule: ribosomal RNA, 119 nt
Filed under: Pteropus alecto (black flying fox)
Lineage: Eukaryota; Metazoa; Chordata; Mammalia; Chiroptera; Pteropodidae
Source: RNAcentral